GCUGUUUAUUAUUGUGCUCGAGAGUAACAGUGAUACAGGAAGCCACAGAGCUGUACACAAACCACUGCAGAUGUCACUGUGACAGUCAUUGAUAGAAAGUGUUUUUGUUCCAGCAGUGAGUGGAGAUGUAGCACUGUGAUUACUUUGACUACUGGGGCAGCGGGACUGAAGUCACAGUAACAGAUACUACAACAUCACCACCGACUCUGUUCCCUUUGGUUCAGUGCAAUCCUGGGGCUGCGAAUCUAGUCACUGUUGGCUGUCUUGCACAAGACUUCUACCCAAAUAGUCUUACUUUCCAGUGGACCGAUGCCAGU
Long non-coding RNA from Perca fluviatilis (European perch), 317 nucleotides. RefSeq lists it as uncharacterized. The record is from RefSeq and is a predicted model, not a curated record. Lineage: Eukaryota; Metazoa; Chordata; Actinopteri; Perciformes; Percidae. The transcript is spliced from 3 exons.